AUAUCUGUACCGCAUUGCCCUCCGAAGGCAGGGGUCGUGGGUUCGAAUCCCGCCGGAUGCGCCA
Molecule: transfer RNA, 64 nt
Filed under: Pseudomonas aeruginosa
Lineage: Bacteria; Pseudomonadati; Pseudomonadota; Gammaproteobacteria; Pseudomonadales; Pseudomonadaceae
Description: tRNA-Arg
Rfam family: tRNA
About the family: Transfer RNA (tRNA) molecules are approximately 80 nucleotides in length. Their secondary structure includes four short double-helical elements and three loops (D, anti-codon, and T loops).
Source: RNAcentral